AACCAUAGAAACCUGCGGAGUACCUGCGGAGGGAUCAUUACCGAGUUUACAACUCCCAAACCCAAUGUGAACGUUACCAAACUGUUGCCUCGGCGGGAUCUCUGCCCCGGGUGCGUCGCAGCCCCGGACCAAGGCGCCCGCCGGAGGACCAACCAAAACUCUUUUGUAUACCCCCUCGCGGGUUUUUUAUAUCUGAGCCAUCUCGGCGCCUCUCGUAGGCGUUUCGAAAAUGAAUCAAAA
Molecule: unclassified non-coding RNA, 240 nt
Filed under: soil metagenome
Description: partial contains 5.8S ribosomal RNA, internal transcribed spacer 2, and large subunit ribosomal RNA
Source: RNAcentral